This 266-nucleotide ribosomal RNA is filed under the name uncultured bacterium. Its description in RNAcentral is "partial 16S ribosomal RNA". It matches the Rfam family "Bacterial small subunit ribosomal RNA", at positions 793 to 1055 of the family's 1533-position model. The record is from RNAcentral.
GUCCUAGCCGUAAACGGUGCACGUUUGCUGUAAGAGGAUUCGACCCCUCUUGUGGCGUAGCCAACGCGUUAAACGUGCCGCCUGGGAAGUACGGUCGCAAGAUUAAAACUCAAAGAAAUUGACGGGGCCUGCACAAGCGGUGGAGUAUGUGGCUUAAUUCGAUGCAACGCGAAGAACCUUACCUGGCCUUGACAUGUAGGUAGUAGAAGCCUGAAAGGGUGACGAGGUAGCAAUACCAGCUUACACAGGUGCUGCAUGGCUGUCGU